Molecule: unclassified non-coding RNA, 4319 nt
Filed under: Hevea brasiliensis (rubber tree)
Lineage: Eukaryota; Viridiplantae; Streptophyta; Magnoliopsida; Malpighiales; Euphorbiaceae
Source: RNAcentral
AUUACCCCAAGAUUGCUUGUUUAAUUGGAACACAAUGCAGCCCAGCAAAGCAAACAGUCUCUCUAAUCAUUUCCCAAGAUUGUGCAAACUGCAUCAUAUAUCAUUGAAAAGAAUUGUCGACAUCAAUAAGAUUUCAGUAGGGACACUACAAUUUUCCAGUGUAUUUGAUUUGUACACAAUCAUACAUAUAGCCAACUGCUGCUUUGGAAAUUCGAAAAUCCUGCAGUCCUCAUUUUGUUUCAAGGAGACGACUGUUGCUGAUAUUUCAUGUCCAUGAUUCUACAAAUACAGAGCUCUCUGACAAAAACAUAAGCUUAAACUGAACUUCAAAUACUUCUCCCCGAAAAAAACUCUCUGGCCAUACGGCAGUUUCAGGUGAGACUUCACAAAAUUCAUUUCAAAGAUGUAUAAGCAACUGGCUGUCUUCAUUUCACGAUAGGUCAGUCUCACGUUCUGCUUCUUUCCAAACUCCUUACUGCAUUUGUACAAUUCGAAGCAGAUCCAGGUACAUGGAGUGCCGUAUGAAUCACUAGUUUUUUUGUUUCUUCCCAAAUUUAUUGUGUUUGUGUACUUUGGAGGUAGUCGCAGGUCUAUUAAAUGCUGUUUCACCUUUCUUGCUCGUGUUCCUCCAUUUCAUCUUUUUGUUCCCACCACUUGUGAACUCUUUAACAAACUUCCUCCUCUUCUUAUUUUCUGCUGACUGACCCUUUGUUGAUUUUUGAUAUUCAGAGUGCCUAGCUUUCUUGCUUCCUUUAGGUACACGGCCAUCACCGCUUGGUAUAUGAGGCUCCCUCAAGGAAGGAGGGCUCCAAUUUUCCUUAUUUUCUCUCUUUCUCUUCCUAUGAUGCACUGAACCAUUCUCCUUAGCCACAGAACCUGAUUCUUUGUUCUGCUUAUUCAUCCUAGAAUGACACAAGUUCAAUUACAACAUAUUAUCAGUCUUUUCCCCCCUUCUUUCUUUUAAGCGGGAGAAGGACAAGGGGGAGGUCUGCAAGUAAAAGAUGAACUAAAAGAACAAAUAAGGCAUAACCCUGUGCAGUGGGAAGUAUCCAAAGAGAAGUAAAACAAAUGGACGGAUUUAUCAGACCUCUUGCCAGAUGAAUCUGCAGGCAUUGUUUCUAUAUCAUUUGAUCCAGCUUCCUUGGAAGUAGACUUAUGAUGACGAUUCUGCAAAACAGUCUUGACAAAACCCUUGUACUUGUCCGGUGUAACUAACUCAACUGCAGCAGAACCACACUUCCGCAUCAUGAUCUCCAUUAUGACUGUCACCUUAGAUCUAAAAUGAAAUCUAGAGAUAGAUGACCACAAGAGAACUCCACUGGUGAUGUCUGAUAGAAGAUUUUGCAGGUCUUUAGCUUGCAAGGAUGAUACUAGUACUUUCACAAAACCCAAAAUAGCUUUUGUGACUUCCACAGCUUUGCUUUGCAGCAGAGAUAACAGGGAGGGAACAAGAUCAGGGAUCUUAAGACAGAUGUCUACAUCAUUGUACACCAGUAGAGACAGUGCAGAAACUGCUCCACUCUUUAUGUGAGGAGACGGACCCGAAAGAUAACCCAUUAUCAUGCUGAUCAGUUUGUGAUAAGCUUCACCAGAACCCGCAUCUGAUGAGUUUCUGAAGGCAGAACUUAUCAUGAGGAUUGUAUCAUAAGCCACUUUUCUAGCUUCAUCCUUUGCAUCCUUUAAAGUCAGUAUGAUCUCAUUGAGCAUAAGAAAAGCCUUUGUAUUAUCCUCCUCCGAGCUUAUCUCUAAUGUGUGAACCAUGAGAAUGUGGAAACAAGCAAAUCGAUUCCUUAGAGAUGCAAUAUCAGUUGGAGGCUUCAGGCCAAGUAACAACUCUAUAAGCUCAACAAAUUGAGAACAACAAAACCAGGCAUGUUCCUCCAAAAUUCUGCUUAAAGUGUGAUAUGCUCCACAUUGACCAGUCACAUCAGUUUCCUUAAAGACUUGGACAACAUAAUUAUAUAACAGAUUGAUUAGAUCCUCCUUGGCUCCUUCAACAAAAGAAGCUGCUAGCUCCAUUAUCACACACCUCUUUACAACUUUCUUCUCCACAACACUGCCUUCUUCUGUGUCAAUCGAUUCAUCUCCACAGCUUGUCAGCUGUGCAAAUUCACCUCUGCCAUUCGCAAGUUGAAACCUCUCCAGCAAUGACAUAAAAAUUUUCUUGGUGAUAGAAGAAUCAGUAAUAGAAGCCAAGCAUCCAAUAGCAUCCUUUAUAUAUAAGCGCUUCUCAGGUAGAGAAUUGACAAAUAGGUUCACUAGAGCCUGAAGCAGCUUGGUGGAACAUGAUGCCAAAGCCUUGAUGUUUUUGGUUGCAGUUUUCUUUGAAUAAGUGGGAAUGCUUCUAAACUCCAAAAGAGUAUCCUUCACUGCAUUGCUAUGAGAUUCUCUAGCAUUAUUUCUAGAGAUAAUUGCACUUCUAUUUUGACUGACAAGAACCUGCAAGGCUACAGCAACAUUUUGAUGCAUGAAAGGGUCUUCCUUCAGAAAGGUGAUAAGAAGUUCAGCCAAAGACCCAAACUUUCUGUGAGUGUCAACAGGAUAGUGACAAAAGGCAGGGAGCAAUCCCCAAAGGCCAUGGGCAUAAGCCUGCAGAUCUUCACCAACUGCUGACUUUUUAACUUUACGACUGGCUUUCAAGAAGGAUUUUGCAAGAGGCACAAUAUGCUCCAUGUAAUACCCUAGUGAUGCUCCAACAAUGUGUUUCCUCAAUAUGGGUACCAACCAGGCGUUGGAACAAGUAAAGUUAUCAACAUGAACAGAGAUGGGUAUGAGUGUAAGGAUUCUCUCCGGCCCCAUGGCAACUACAGCAGAUCCAAUGCAAUUCUGAAGAUGUUCUGUGUCAGAUUUCUGCUGGCUGACAAGAUUCAUCAAGUUGGCAAGCUUGAGAACAAGAUUCUUCAUGAAGAUAAAUGAGCCCUCUCGAAGCUUCAGGAAUAAAGCAGAUAUGACUUCCAAAAGAUGCUCAUUCGGAAAUCCAUCAUAUGAGCUCAGAGUAUUCUCAAAGAUAGCACAUGUCGAUUUUAUCAUAUCUGCUUCUUCGCUUUCUUGACUUACAUCUUCAAAUGACUGGCUUUCAUCAAGCAAGAGCUUUUUCUGAUCCAUAAAAUGGUUGAUUAUCUCUUUAAUGAUGCAUGAAGCCUGUGAUGCAGUGGUAGUCUCCCAAGUCAAAAGACCUGCCAUGGAACCACAAACUUUAGGUACAUUCCUUACCCACAAUCUCGAUCCUCCAGCAUCAAGUUUAUCCAAAGCAAUUUUUGACAAAGUUGCUCCAAAAAUGACAGUGUCCAUUGGGUUCUUCUCUCCAAAAGACACAUAUAGAGAAAGAGAUUUUAUAAUGUUUUCCAUGUGUGGGCCGAUAACUUGCUCUCCAGAAGUCUCAAAAAAUGCUUCAAAAAUUUUAAAAAUAUGCCUUGUAAGUGCUGUGAACUGAGAAUGCAUGAGCUGAAGUAUUUCGGACAGAACUUUUGAACUGAUUUUGACAGAGAGAUAUGGAACAGUCAGCUUCAGCAAAUUCAGCAUAUGGAGACCCUCUAGAUGUCCAGGUUUUGAUAAUGUUUCAUCUUUAGACCCCUCAAUAAUCUUCAACUCACUCAUUGUAAGUGCCAUAGGCAUGUAACUUUUGAGCAUCGACAGAACCAAUUUGCUCGACUCCUUGAUAACAGCGGAAGACCGAAGAGACUUAAAAACCUUCUCAAGGCAAUCUUGAGCACUCCUCCUGACCUUAGGCCGCUUAUCAAUGGAGAAUUUAAGCACAGUUUCAAACCCUUCCUUAACAGAGCCCCAAUCCUCCAAAUCACAAAACCCAACAAUCAAAACCCCCAAACACUUGACCAAGCCACUCACACUUGCCGCUCCUAACCCAUCUCUCUCCGCCACUCCCACCAAAACUUUCACUGCCUCGCUCGCCUUAUCGCCCUUAAUCCCCUUGCUCGGAAUCAAGGGCACCACGAUCGAAACAAACGACAAGAGCGCCGCAAACGCUGUGGAAUCUAGGUUUUCGGAAUUGGAGAGGUUAUCGAUCGCAGCAACGAAGUACGCCGUAGGACUUAGGGGGAGGGCCUCAGCGGAGAGAAUGGAGCGGAUGGCGGCGGCGGUGGCGAGGAGAUGGCGGUGUUGCGGGGCUUUAGAGGUGGAAUAGCGGGAUAAUAGUUGUUGGCAGAUAUCGGAGUCAUCUUUGAAUGAAAUUUCUGGCUCAUGUCCAGGUUCUUCUGCUAAGUGGCUGUCAAGGUUUGUCUCCAUGGCAGUGUUUCCUUUUUCUCUUUGAGGAGUUCAGGGUUUUAAGAAAGCUGAUGGGGAUACAAUGAGCAGGGUUUAAG